GUCAUUAUCUGUGUCCCCGCAUCCAUCCUCUUAUGAGCCAUGAAAGCUCUGAUAUCAAGUCACAAUCGGAGCUUCAGCUCAUCAAAUAUAGAAAUAGAUCGCUCACCUAAGAGGACCUGUGGAGGAAGUGGGAAUGGGGGCUCUGGUGUUUUAUGCCCGUAAUUCCAACAUUUGAGAGCCUGAAGCAGGUGAAUCGCUCCAAGUUUGAGAACAGCCUGGGUUACAUAGAGUUAAGCAAACAUGAACUAUAAAGUGUAUAGUACCUCAAAGUCUAGAAGGAGAUUUCAUCUUGAAGCAGUGACAUUGUAGGAAGCUAGGCGGCUCAGCUUUAGCACAAGAGGAGUGCACAGCCACACUCGGUACCUCCCACCCAGCCUCUGGAGGAGAGGGAGGAGGCGGGUCUGGAGGUGGAGCCUCCGUGAGGACCUGCGGACCUACAGCACAGCCUAUGGGCCUAUGGCGGAGCGACGCCUGUGGGCUGUGGCCUUCUGCGGGCGGCCAUUGUCGUGCCUGAUAAGCUUUUCUACGUGACUCACUUGCUUCACCUAGCCGGCAGAGCGAGACGACUGGGUAACUCCCUGAUCCGGUCUGCUUCUCCCUACACCCAGGCAACAUCCUUGGCCCGCCCAAUCUCUGCCACCAGCCUCGAGCGGAUCGACCUGAGCCCCGGGCCUAGCACCGGAGGGAUCCGGGUCGAGAAGAAUCAUUGCUACGCUCCAGUCCUGGAGUCUUCUGUUAGCCAGACUGUGAGGCGUAACGGAUUCCUAAGGCUCUCCUGGCCAGGCAGGACUUCUCCCAGCACUCACGAGGAACUGAGCCUGGACUGGUGUUUGGAGGAACAAGUCAUAACACCGAUCGCUCCCAGCACAGACUUGCCACUGCCCCCACCCCCAAACCUACUCUCUCCUGUUUCAUUCCCCCCAGAACCCACAGUUCCCAAACAGUGCACCUGCGGGAGAUCCCAACCCAACUGGAGAAGUGGACAUGAGGUUGGCAGGCCCCCUGCGCAUCGUGGCCCUAAUCAUCAUUAUGGGUCUCACCUGGAUCCUAGUCACCAUCCUCCUAGGUGGUCCUGGUGUUGGCCUUCCUCGAAUUCAGCAGUUCUUCACCAGUGAGUGUGGGAAUCCUCUUGAUUCACUAUAGAGGCGCCGAAUAUGGGUUAUGGUGGUUGGGUUUCCCAUUACCUUCAUGGCAGGCUUCCUUUUGCUGCCCUAGGUCUAUCUUCUAACACAAAUGCAUCCUUGUUCCCGAGAACCAUCCUAGAGAACAACACUCCUA
RNAcentral lists this long non-coding RNA (1278 nucleotides) under Mus spicilegus (steppe mouse). RNAcentral's name for it is "lncRNA (ENSMSIG00000001381.1)". Lineage: Eukaryota; Metazoa; Chordata; Mammalia; Rodentia; Muridae. The record is from RNAcentral.